This 29-nucleotide non-coding RNA is filed under the name Homo sapiens (human). Lineage: Eukaryota; Metazoa; Chordata; Mammalia; Primates; Hominidae. The record is from RNAcentral.
GUGGAUCCGAUAGUGACGAAUGAGGCUGC